CUUGCAUGAGAGAAGAUGAGGUCGCUAUCAAUUCUACUGUGCCUAGCUACAAUGCUGCUCACUUAUGUCACCUGCCAAAUGAAUGGCCUUUCAUCCUGCCCUUGUCUCAAGACAUCAAAUACUAUACUACGCAAGGAAAAUAUAAUAUAUUACAAGCGACAAAAAGCAGGAAUUUGCCAUAUUGAUGCCAUUGGAUUUAAAACAGUCAGAGGUAGUUACUGUUUGCUCCGAUCCAGAAAAGCCUUGGGUGAAGAGAGCCAUGGAAUUUGUGGACAAGAAGAGGAAGGCAAAUGAACCGACUGUGCGCCCCAUAAACGCCAUAUUAUCAUUUAAAACAUCAUCUACACUGAAUGCAACAUAACCAGUGUUGAUUACUAAAAACUAUGCAUAUAAGUUAACAUAUAAUCAAAAUGUUCGUCAAUUGUUCUGUAUUAUAUAGUAUCUGCACUUUGUUUAUGAAGAAUAUAUUCCUCUCUAUGUGUAAUGUUUAUUUUCAUUUUUUGUUUAGAUGUGUAAAGGAGAUAGAUUUAAACUUGAAGUUAAAAAGUUACUUUAAAUAUAGGGGUGAUGACAAU
Molecule: long non-coding RNA, 575 nt
Organism: Xyrauchen texanus (razorback sucker)
Lineage: Eukaryota; Metazoa; Chordata; Actinopteri; Cypriniformes; Catostomidae
Exons: 3
Source: RefSeq, a predicted model, not a curated record